This 390-nucleotide long non-coding RNA is filed under the name Phoenix dactylifera (date palm). RNAcentral's name for it is "long non-coding RNA (PDAC_LNC012672)". The record is from RNAcentral. Lineage: Eukaryota; Viridiplantae; Streptophyta; Magnoliopsida; Arecales; Arecaceae.
CCAACUUCUUUUUGGGUUCUCUAACAUCUGGAACGCAUCCGGGCUUUUAUUGGUUUGAUAUUUGGGUUGUUAAGCCCAGCCCGGUCCAUUGACUUCCCUACUUACUGGAAAUCAACCGAUAUAUAAGCUUUGUCCUAAGUCCAAAAGCCUGCACAUAAUUCUAAACAAAUGGGGCGGUCCUGGAUUGAAGUCGGCACGCUCAACCAAGUUCAAUUCAAGAAUUUCUAAAAAAAAAAAAAAACAAGAGGAAAUGCAUUCUCCUACCUGAUCCGCCAGCUGUCGGGGAUAACGGCGCGGAUGCAUGGCCGGCCGUUUGCACCCACCCGUGGAGACCUUACCGGCCACGCCUCCACCGCUCCACGUCGUUAUCCAGACAGCUGGUGGAUCAGG